RNAcentral lists this transfer RNA (87 nucleotides) under Candidatus Lernaella stagnicola. RNAcentral describes it as "tRNA-Ser". It matches the Rfam family "tRNA". From Rfam's summary of the family: Transfer RNA (tRNA) molecules are approximately 80 nucleotides in length. Their secondary structure includes four short double-helical elements and three loops (D, anti-codon, and T loops). Lineage: Bacteria; Candidatus Lernaellota; Candidatus Lernaellaia; Candidatus Lernaellales; Candidatus Lernaellaceae. The record is from RNAcentral.
GGAGAGGUGACCGAGAGGCCGAAGGUGCACGACUGGAAAUCGUGUGGGCGUUAACGCGUCCCGUGGGUUCGAAUCCCACCCUCUCCG